Molecule: non-coding RNA, 38 nt
Filed under: unclassified sequences
Source: RNAcentral
CUCUGGCCCGGCGUUCAUGGGCACAGGGCGUGAAAGAG